AGCGACAGGCCUAACACAUGCAAGUCGAGGGGCAGCACAAGGAGCAAUCUGAGGUGGCGACCGGCGCACGGGUGAGUAACACGUAUGCAACCUGCCUGUAAGCGGGGAAUAACCCGUUGAAAGACGGACUAAUACCGCAUAAUACUAAAUUACUGCAUGGUAAUUUAUUUAAACAUUUAUGGCUUACAGAUGGGCAUGCGCAUGAUUAGCUAGUUGGAGAGGUAACGGCUCCCCAAGGCAACGAUCAUUAGGGGUUCUGAGAGGAAGGUCCCCCACACUGGUACUGAGACACGGACCAGACUCCUACGGGAGGCAGCAGUGAGGAAUAUUGGUCAAUGGACGAGAGUCUGAACCAGCCAAGUCGCGUGCAGGAAGAAUGUCCUUAAUGGAUUGUAAACUGCUUUUGCAGGGGAAUAAAGUGCAUCACGUGUGAUGUUUUGUAUGUACUCUGCGAAUAAGGAUCGGCUAACUCCGUGCCAGCCGCAGC
This 487-nucleotide ribosomal RNA is filed under the name uncultured bacterium. RNAcentral's name for it is "bacterial SSU rRNA". It matches the Rfam family "Bacterial small subunit ribosomal RNA", at positions 39 to 518 of the family's 1533-position model. The record is from RNAcentral.